Molecule: microRNA precursor, 81 nt
Filed under: Rhinopithecus bieti (black snub-nosed monkey)
Lineage: Eukaryota; Metazoa; Chordata; Mammalia; Primates; Cercopithecidae
Description: miRNA (ENSRBIG00000012521.1)
Source: RNAcentral
AUUAGGUUGGCGCAAAAGUAAUUGUGGUUUUGUCAUUCCUUUCAAUGACAAAAACUGCAAUUACUUUUGCGCCAACCUAAU